GACGAACGCUGGCGGCGUGCUUAACACAUGCAAGUCGAACGGAAAGGCCCUGCUUUUGUGGGGUGCUCGAGUGGCGAACGGGUGAGUAACACGUGAGUAACCUGCCCUUGACUUUGGGAUAACUUCAGGAAACUGGGGCUAAUACCGGAUAGGAGCUCCUGCUGCAUGGUGGGGGUUGGAAAGUUUCGGCGGUUGGGGAUGGACUCGCGGCUUAUGAGCUUGUUGGUGGGGUAGUGGCUUACCAAGGGUUUGACGGGUAGCCGGCCUGGGAGGGUGACCGGCCACAUUGGGACUGCGGUACGGACCAGACUCCUACGGGAGGCAGCAGUGGGGAAUAUUGCGCAAUGGGCGGAAGCCUGAUGCAGCAACGCCGCGUGCGGGAUGACGGCCUUCGGGUUGUAAACCGCUUUCGCCUGUGACGAAGCGUGAGUGACGGUAAUGGGUAAAGAAGCACCGGCUAACUACGUG
This 468-nucleotide ribosomal RNA is filed under the name uncultured bacterium. RNAcentral's name for it is "partial 16S ribosomal RNA". It matches the Rfam family "Bacterial small subunit ribosomal RNA", at positions 28 to 507 of the family's 1533-position model. The record is from RNAcentral.